AAAAACACAGAACCCAGUACACUUUAUUCUUUUUCAGAGAGCUGAUGGCAGGUGUAAAUCAGCAAAGGAUAAUUUGGAAGUUCCAGUUCGUUUACGUGCCCUUUCGAAAUAAGAAAGGUCGGUUCAACAGCCGUUAUGUGUUCAACAAGUGCAGCUGACGCUGAACUUGGGUGGUACCGCGAAUUUCAGACUGAUUCGUCCCAAGA
RNAcentral lists this non-coding RNA (206 nucleotides) under Enterococcus faecium. RNAcentral describes it as "T-box". It matches the Rfam family "T-box leader". Rfam says of the family: Uncharged tRNA acts as the effector for transcription antitermination of genes in the T-box leader family. T-boxes are found upstream of many aminoacyl-tRNA synthetase genes and some amino acid biosynthetic genes usually in Gram-positive bacteria. The record is from RNAcentral. Lineage: Bacteria; Bacillati; Bacillota; Bacilli; Lactobacillales; Enterococcaceae.